Molecule: non-coding RNA, 158 nt
Filed under: Candidatus Peregrinibacteria bacterium
Lineage: Bacteria; Candidatus Peregrinibacteriota
Description: 6S RNA
Rfam family: 6S / SsrS RNA
About the family: E. coli 6S RNA was the first non coding RNA to be sequenced, but its function was unknown until recently.
Source: RNAcentral
AACACUCUGAUUUGUUCGUUAGAACAAUAUCAUGCAAACCCAUCUCAUCACUAAGGGGAUCUUAUCAUUUAUAUGAACCGUGGUUUAUAUAUGCGGAACCCCACCUAACAACAUUAGGUUUGUGCAUGACUUCGAUUCGACGGCAACUCGGAGUUUUU